RNAcentral lists this ribosomal RNA (1034 nucleotides) under Salmonella enterica. RNAcentral describes it as "partial 23S ribosomal RNA". It matches the Rfam family "Bacterial large subunit ribosomal RNA", at positions 1125 to 2141 of the family's 2925-position model. Lineage: Bacteria; Pseudomonadati; Pseudomonadota; Gammaproteobacteria; Enterobacterales; Enterobacteriaceae. The record is from RNAcentral.
AAAGAAAGCGUAAUAGCUCACUGGUCGAGUCGGCCUGCGCGGAAGAUGUAACGGGGCUAAACCAUGCACCGAAGCUGCGGCAGCGACACUCAGGUGUUGUUGGGUAGGGGAGCGUUCUGUAAGCCUGUGAAGGUGGCCUGUGAGGGUUGCUGGAGGUAUCAGAAGUGCGAAUGCUGACAUAAGUAACGAUAAAGCGGGUGAAAAGCCCGCUCGCCGGAAGACCAAGGGUUCCUGUCCAACGUUAAUCGGGGCAGGGUGAGUCGACCCCUAAGGCGAGGCCGAAAGGCGUAGUCGAUGGGAAACGGGUUAAUAUUCCCGUACUUGGUGUUACUGCGAAGGGGGGACGGAGAAGGCUAUGUUGGCCGGGCGACGGUUGUCCCGGUUUAAGCGUGUAGGUGUGUGUUCCAGGUAAAUCCGGUUCACUUUAACACUGAGGCGUGACGACGAGGCACUACGGUGCUGAAGCAACAAAUGCCCUGCUUCCAGGAAAAGCCUCUAAGCAUCAGGUAACAUCAAAUCGUACCCCAAACCGACACAGGUGGUCAGGUAGAGAAUACCAAGGCGCUUGAGAGAACUCGGGUGAAGGAACUAGGCAAAAUGGUGCCGUAACUUCGGGAGAAGGCACGCUGACACGUAGGUGAAGUGAUUUACUCAUGGAGCUGAAGUCAGUCGAAGAUACCAGCUGGCUGCAACUGUUUAUUAAAAACACAGCACUGUGCAAACACGAAAGUGGACGUAUACGGUGUGACGCCUGCCCGGUGCCGGAAGGUUAAUUGAUGGGGUCAGCGCAAGCGAAGCUCCUGAUCGAAGCCCCGGUAAACGGCGGCCGUAACUAUAACGGUCCUAAGGUAGCGAAAUUCCUUGUCGGGUAAGUUCCGACCUGCACGAAUGGCGUAAUGAUGGCCAGGCUGUCUCCACCCGAGACUCAGUGAAAUUGAACUCGCUGUGAAGAUGCAGUGUACCCGCGGCAAGACGGAAAGACCCCGUGAACCUUUACUAUAGCUUGACACUGAACAUUGAGCCUUGAUGUGUAG